Molecule: ribosomal RNA, 372 nt
Filed under: uncultured organism
Description: bacterial SSU rRNA
Rfam family: Bacterial small subunit ribosomal RNA
Source: RNAcentral
CGUAGGGUGCGUAGCGUUAAUCGGAAUUACUGGGCGUAAAGCGUGCGCAGGCGGUUUUGUAAGCCAGAUGUGAAAUCCCCGGGCUCAACCUGGGAAUGGCAUUUGGGACUGCAAGGCUGGAGUGUGGCAGAGGAGACUGGAAUUCCUGGUGUAGCAGUGAAAUGCGUAGAUAUCAGGAGGAAUACCGAUGGCGAAGGCAGGUCUCUGGGCUAACACUGACGCUCAUGCACGAAAGCGUGGGGAGCAAACAGGAUUAGAUACCCUGGUAGUCCACGCCCUAAACGAUGUCGACUGGUUGUUGGGGGUUUGACACUCUCAGUAACGAAGCUAACGCGUGAAGUCGACCGCCUGGGGAGUACGGCCGCAAGGUUA